UACGGGGGGAGCAAGCGUUGUUCGGAUUUACUGGGCGUAAAGGGCGCGUAGGCGGCGUGACAAGUCACUUGUGAAAUCUCCGGGCUUAACCCGGAGCGGCCAAGUGAUACUGUCGUGCUAGAGUGCGGAAGGGGCUACUGGAAUUCUCGGUGUAGCGGUGAAAUGCGUAGAUAUCGCUUGGAACGCCAAAGGUGAAAACAGGUUGCUGGGGUUGUGCCGACGCUGAGACACGAAAGCCAGGGGAGCAAACGGG
RNAcentral lists this ribosomal RNA (253 nucleotides) under uncultured bacterium. RNAcentral describes it as "partial 16S ribosomal RNA". It matches the Rfam family "Bacterial small subunit ribosomal RNA", at positions 524 to 776 of the family's 1533-position model. The record is from RNAcentral.